GAGAUUGGGUUCAAUUCAAUAAAGAGAUAUGAAAGACCUAUGUAUUGGCCCCAUUCUAGAGACGGUGGAGGGCAGAGAGAAAUGACAUGGAACUAACCUUAAGGAAUGCACUAUCUAGCCAGGAGACAGACAUACAGCCAAAUAUGUAAGACGGUGGGAUAACUCUAGCGGAACAGUUGUGUGCUGGAACCAGCUAGCCAGAGCCCAUCUCUGUAGUGAGUGUGCAUCUCUUCCCAAGUCUGCUUUUAGCGUCUUCACAUUCAUGGCUUGAAGGUGGCCAUGGUGGGAGUAUUUACACCACAGAAAUCAGCAAAUGCUAUGCAUCAGGGCCCUAGGAAGGCCAAUUAUGAAACACCAGCAUAUGACAGGAUAGAAGAUGUCAGAGAAAAGCCUACUCAGCGUGAAGAUGACGAGGAUGAAGGCUUGCCUUUUUGAUGAUCCACUUCCCCUUAAUGAACAACGGAGUUUCGCUCUUGAACCUGGGAGGCGGACGUUUUUAAAAACAGCUGCCUGGAGAAGCGGCCGGACGCAGGGGAAGGCUGCGCUGCCGGAAAGGGUUAACCCCGCGGGCGCCGACAUCUGGCAGGAGCGAGGGCGUUGGCAGAGCCCGGUCCGCCCGUACCAGUCUGUACAGGGGAACUGUCCCGCCUGCUGAUUUAUCAUUCCCUAAUGUCACGGGGAUGGGAUGUUGAAAUUGUGGCUAGAAUGUGAAAUACGAAAAACACGAAGAUUAUGAUUUAGCGUCUGGGGAAGAUCAGCGUUAGCCUGCAGAACAGCUUGUAAACGGGAGGCAUCCUUGGCCCUAGCUUGUGGUUUUUGACUCCAACACUCAAGCUGGGGAUCUGGGCGGGCAGAGCUUUCUUGGGUUAGAGCAGACAGGCAAAAGUGGAAUUAAUAAGAGCAAAACCACUUCUGUGCUGCUAUGGGGAUAGUGCGGGCGAGCGCCAGGAGGACCAAAGUAAAUUUUAAUUAAACAGAGACCUGAUGUUGAAGGAUAAAUAAAACAACGUGGGGUGUAAACAGCUUAAAUCAGGGAUUCAAAUGACACCUGCGGGUGUCUAGACAUGAGGUGCAUCCUGAUAAUUUAUAGUCUCGGAGAAGAUGCAGAUGAGUAGGAUAAUAUCUGCAAAUUUUGCUCCUUAAAAGAAGUAAUAGCUUGAAUUUUAAGGAGGUACUAAAUAAGGGAACUAAGUGGGAGAAUGAUUUUAACAGUUAUCCGUGGAGGAAAAGGGGUUAGCAAAGAAACACAA
Molecule: long non-coding RNA, 1250 nt
Filed under: Homo sapiens (human)
Lineage: Eukaryota; Metazoa; Chordata; Mammalia; Primates; Hominidae
Description: HSALNT0382692
Source: RNAcentral